GCGGGUAUAGUUCAGAGGUAGAACUCCAGCCUUCCAAGCUGGUCGCGCGGGUUCGAUUCCCGCUACCCGCUCCA
Molecule: transfer RNA, 74 nt
Filed under: Gammaproteobacteria bacterium
Lineage: Bacteria; Pseudomonadati; Pseudomonadota; Gammaproteobacteria
Also listed under: 1 other name
Description: tRNA-Gly
Rfam family: tRNA
About the family: Transfer RNA (tRNA) molecules are approximately 80 nucleotides in length.
Source: RNAcentral